UAAAUAAAAGUUAACAGUGAAAAGAGUCUUGAUGAACAAGUCUUGAUUGUUGCAGCAGGUGUUUGAAACAUGGCUGUGAUAUUAUGUGUUACCAGUUCAAUUAUUAUAUUAUAUCUAUAUUUGACAGGCAUAAAUAGCGAACAGUGUGUUCGUACUAAUGGUGUGGUGACAGAAUCUCAGUUUUGUUUGUUUGGCUGUUGUGAUGCCAAUUUCGAUAUUGCAACUGGAUUUAAUAACAAAAAUUUAUGUUGUACAAUAACUCUAGAAACUAUAAUAGGAAUAGUUGUUGGUAGUCUCGUGCUGCUCCUUAUUUUGAUUGGAUGCUGUCUUAUCUGCUGUUUACGAUGUGGUAAAUCAACAAUUGGCACCAAUACCCAAAAAGGUCAAAGUUCAAAUGAUGUAGCUGGGCAUCAUCCGUACCAGCCCAUUGGAGAGUCCAGUUAUCCUGUUCAGAAAUCAGGAUAGCCGAUAUGACAACCUUAACUGUAACUUAUAAACUCAAGAAAGCUCAAAACAUUAAUAUAUUUUAGCCUGUCCGGGGACGGAGUUUAGAAAAGUGGGUUAUUAAAUGUUAUCUGUAGUGCUACAAAAUCACACAAACAAUGACGAAUUUGCUUAAAAUGUAAACACUUCACAAUUAAAUAAAACUUAAAAUAGCACAAA
This is a long non-coding RNA of Patella vulgata (common limpet), 663 nucleotides long. RefSeq lists it as uncharacterized. Lineage: Eukaryota; Metazoa; Mollusca; Gastropoda; Patellidae. The record is from RefSeq and is a predicted model, not a curated record. The transcript has 4 exons.